UUGCGUUUCUGACUAAUGUCAUUUUUGACACGUCUCCCACUAUGUUGUUGAGCGGUAUCCUAGCAACUGGAGGCAGUGGUGCUUGUCUGUUUCCACGGAAACCGACUAACUGCUAACGUUGAUCGGUAGCUAGAUCGGGGUUCUCUAACAAAAUAGAAGACCAUUUCAAAUAGCUGCGUUUCAGGACUUUGCCAGUCCCACACAGCUGCUACCAUGGGGGUAGCGCUGACCAGAGCAGCGCAAUGGACCACAGCAAGUUCUGGGAUUGGAAAACUGGAGAUCACUCCAGUCAACGAGUCUCUGCUGAAAGAGAUCCUGGAGUUUGUGGAACAGUUCAGCUCCAGACACCCUCAGGAGGCUAAGCAUGUGUUCAAGGAGCCGCUCCAGUGGACUACCUCUUUGGAGGCUUCUGAUUUCAAAACAGAGUAUGACAUAAGUGGCCCCGCUGUAAAGUCACAGGAAACAGACAGGGAUGGGCAUCCUAUGUUGCAGCUCACCCCUCCGAGCAUUUCUGUGCACAGCUUCAGUCAGCUGUCCAAAAUAGUGCAGCUGGCAACGGAUAAGAAGCUCAAGGAGGUCCGAGCUUGCCUGGAAGCCAACAGAGACCCUGUUGCGAAGAUGCUGGGACCUAGCUUCGCCACAGUGGAGGGGGAGGACAGCUCUGUGCUGCGUCUCCUGGAGAAGGUAAAGGAGGGGGACCAGGCCAAGGAGACUGAGAUCAAAGUGAAGCUGCUCAUCCUACUGCAGCAGCUGGACACUCAGCUCCUCAGCAACUCCCUCAAGCAGAUCUCCCAGGAUGUUAGGCUCAGUCCUGCCACAGUGAAGAAUGAUGUUGAGCUGCUGAAAAGCUUCUGCAGUAAAGGGGAGAAAAGGGUGUUGACGUCUGUUCAAUACACAUCAGAUUAUGAGUUCACCAAUGGCUGUCGAACUCCUCCUUGGAGGCAGGUGCAUGGUGAGAUUUGCUACCUAGUGAUAAAGCCGUGUGACACUCAGCCCCUGCACAUCACCUGCAGCACAGCUGGAGUCUUUCUCAACGGGGGCAUCAGGCAGGAGGGUGAGGAAAAUGCCUAUGACAGAACAAGCGAGGUCUACAAAGACCUGGCAACCCUUCUGAAAAGCACGUCUCCCCAUUUUGCAGAGAACAUAAAUAAACAGGAUUUUGCCGUUCAAGAAGAACCUCCAACACUAAAGGUCCAACAUGUGGAAUUGGUUGAUGCAGAGGAACAAGGCCAACCCCAGAGGUCUUACGAGCAUCACGAAAAGAAUGUGCAUGAGAAGGCGAGACAACAGCUUGUGCAAAACAAGCCAGGCGGCAAAAAGAAAUUAGAACCAUCUUUGAAAUGGAAGAACCUCGGUCUCGCAUCUCCCUAUGAUGAAGCAGAUGACAAGAAAUCGAAAAAGAAUGCAGUGAGUGAAAAGUUUGCCGAGACGCAGGAGAAGAUGCAGAAGAAAGCCGAUUUCUCUGUGUCCUCCUUACCUGGUCGGCAGUCGUCUAAUAAAACUAAGACCCCGGGAGGAGUUGGUGGCGCCGAUGACUUCAGUGAGAGUUCAUCGGAGAGUGAGGAGGAUGAGGAGCAGCCAGAGCGCCGCACGGAGAGCAACACAGACCUGCCCUCAGAGUACUGGCAGAUGCAGAAACUGGUCAAGUACCUCAAGGGAGGCAACCAGACGGCCACUGUGAUUGCUCUGUGCUCCAUGAGGGACUUUAAUUUAGCCCAGGAGACGUGCCAACUGGCCAUCCGGGAUGUAGGUGGCCUUGAAGUCCUCAUUAACUUGCUGGAUACAGAAGAAAUCAAAUGCAAAAUUGGCUCUCUGAAGAUUCUGAAGGAGAUCAGCCGUAACUCUCAGAUCCGCCGGGCCAUCGCUGACCUGGGGGGCCUGCAGACCAUGGUGAAGAUCUUGGACUCCCCAGACAAGGACCUAAAAUACCUGGCCGCAGAGACCAUCGCCAACGUGGCCAAGUUCAGACGGGCCAGGAGGACAGUCAGACAGCACGGAGGGAUCAAGAGACUGGUGGAGUUACUAGACUGCGUGCCUGACUCGGCGGCCCUGACAGAGGAGCAGGAGAAGGACGUGGAGGUGGCUCGCUGCGGGGCCCUGGCCCUCUGGAGCUGCAGUAAGAGCACCAGGAACAAAGAGGCCAUCCGCAAGGCUGGGGGCAUCCCUCUGCUGGCUCGCCUGCUCAAGUCUCCCCACGAGAACAUGCUGAUCCCUGUCGUGGGAACCCUGCAGGAGUGUGCCUCCGAGAGAAGUUACAGGAUUGCCAUCCAGACAGAGGGUAUGAUCGAGGACUUGGUGAAAAACCUCAACUGUGACAACCAAGAGCUACAGAUGCACUGCGCCAGUGCCAUCUUCAAGUGUGCAGAAGACAAGCGUACCCGUGACCUGGUGCGUCAGUGCGAGGGCCUGCAGCCCCUGGUGACUCUGCUGAGCCAGGCAGACAACAAACAGCUCCUGGCUGCCACCACCGGGGCCAUCUGGAAGUGCUCCAUCAGCAUGGAGAAUGUGGCUAAGUUCCAGGAUUACAAGGCCUUGGAGACCCUGGUGGGUCUGCUGACAGACCAGCCUGAGGAGGUGCUGGUGAACGUGGUCGGCGCCCUGGGCGAGGGGGCCCAGAAACCUGCCAACAGGGCCACCAUCAGGAAGUGUGGAGGCAUCCAGCCCCUGGUCAACCUGCUGACGGGAACCAACCAGGCCCUGCUGGUCAACGUCACCAAGGCUGUGGGAGCCUGCGCCACCGAGCUUGAGAAUAUGACGAUCAUUGACCGUCUGGAUGGAGUGCGUCUGCUCUGGUCCUUGUUGAAAAACCCAAACCCAGAUGUCCAGGCCAGCGCUGCAUGGGCCAUUUGUCCAUGCAUUGAAAAUGCAAAGGAUUCAGGGGAAAUGGUGCGCUCCUUUGUCGGUGGAUUGGAACUGAUUGUUAAUUUGCUGAAAUCAACAAACAAAGAGGUACUGGCGAGCGUGUGUGCCGCCAUAGCCAAAAUAGCCAAAGACGAAGAGAAUCUGGCAGUCAUCACUGACCACGGGGUUGUACCGAUGCUGGCCAAGCUGACAAACACAACUGAUGAUAAACUGCGUCGUCACCUGGCUGAGGCGAUUGCCCGUUGCUGCAUGUGGGGCAGUAACAGGGUGUUGUUUGGGGAGGCGGGGGCCGUGGCCCCCCUCGUCCGUUACCUGAAGUCCAAGGACUCCUCAGUCCACCAGGCCACAGCUCAGGCCCUUUUCCAGCUCUCCAAGGACCCCAACAACUGCAUCACCAUGCACGACAACGGAGUGGUCAAGCUCCUGUUGGGUAUGAUGGGCUCCACUGACGAGGUCCUUCAGGAAGCUGCCGCUGGCUGUGUGGCUAACAUCCGCCGCCUGGCCCUGGCCAAUGAAAAGGCACGGUACGGUUAAACAACCACAAUGAACCCUCCCCCCCAGAAGCUACUGUGACCUCAUCAUCACUUUCUGGAUACCCCACCACUGUUCCUGAGAGUGAAGCAGUUUAGAGCAUGUACUGUGCAGUCACAUUCCUUACGCGAUCCACACGAGACACUGAUAUCUAAACAAGACCACAUCUGGCUGUGUUACUCACUUCAACACAAGCACCUUAAAACUGUAAAUAUGUCUGCGAAACACAGACACAACCUCCAAUGAGCCAUUGAGAGAUAUUGGGAACAUAAUGCAUUGUUGGGUCAGUAUAUUAUAUGAGCUGAGCUUAUUUGCUCAACAGUGGGUCUGUCUGUAUGCAACUCAAGAUACUCAGAAAUUCAAUCAACGUUGACAUAAACGGGCAAAAUACAGCGAUAACAUUGCAUAAUGCAAUAAAGGUCCCUCCUGCACUAUAAAUAUGAAUCUAAACAUGUAAUUGGUACACGCAGUUUCCUAUGAAUCACAAUUACUUAAUGUAUGUUCCUGUUGCAUUAUGGGUAGGCAUAGUCAUUAUAAGUAAUUGGGAAAAUGUAUGUAUAUACAGUACAAGUCAAAAGUUUGGACACACCUAUUCAUUCAAAGGUUUUUCUUUAUUUUUACUAUUUUCUACAUUGUAGAAUAAUUGUGAAGACGUCGAAACUAUGAAAUAACACAUUUGGAAUCAUGUAGUAACCAAAAAAGUGUUAAACAAAUCAAAAUAUAUUUUUUAUUUUUCUAUGUAGCCAUUAGCCACCCUUUGCCUUGAUGACAGCUCUUGGCAUUCUCUCAACCAGCUUCAUGAGGUAGUCACCUGGAAUGCUUUUCCAACAGUCUUGAAGGAGUUCCUACAUUUUGCUGAGCUUCAUUCUGCGGUCCAACUCAUCCCAAACCAUCUGAAGUUGUUCUAGACAGCUGAAUCUGGUAAUGAAUGGUGUGGCUGUUGAACAAGUUGAGGAGACUAAAUGACUUGCUGUUACUUUAGAUUGUAAACUGUCACGGUCAAAACAUAUAGAUUCAAUGGUUGUAAAGAUGUGGAGAGGUCUGUCCGUAAUAAAGAGAUGCUCUGCGUUUUUGACACCACACUCCAAAAAGCAAGUUCUGCAGGCUCUAGUUUUGUCUAAUCUUGAUUAUUGUCCAGUUGUGUGGUCCAGUGCUGCAAGGAAAGACCUAGUUAAGCUGCAGCUGACCCAAAACAGCGCGGCACGUUUUGCUCUAAAUUGUUAUCAGAGGGCUGAUUAUAAAUACUAUGCAUGCCAGUCUCUCUUGUUAAGAGUUGAGGAGAGACUGACUGCAUCACUUCUUCUUUUUAUAAGAAACAUUAAUGUGUUGAAAAUCCCAAAUUGUUUGCAUAGUCAACUUACACACAGCUCUGACACACACACUUAUCCCACCAGACAUGUCUUUUCACAGUCCCCAAAUCCAGAACAAAUUCAAGAAAGCGUACAGCGUUAUAUAGAGCCCUCAUUGCAUGGAACUUCCAUCUCAUAUUGCUCAAAUAAACACCAAACCUGGUUUCAAAAAACAGAUAAAGCAACACCUCGCGGCACAACGCCUCUCCCCUAUUUGACAUAGAUAGUUUGUAUAUGCAUCGAUAUGUAGACUACGUGUGCCUUUAAAAAAAAAUAUGUAGGUCUGUUCUUGAGCUGUUCUUGUCUUGAUGUUCUGUAUUAUGUUUCAUGUUUUGUGUAGACCCCAGGAAGAGUAUCUGCUGCUUUUGCAACAGCUAAUGGGGAUCCUAAUAAAAUACCAAAUACCAAAAUUGGGUUGAGGUCGGGUGAUCUCCUUCUUCGUCAAAUAGCCCUUACACAGCCUGGAAGUGUGUUUUGGGUCAUUGUUCUGUUGAAAAACAAAUGAUAGUCCCACUAAGCCCAAACCAGAUGGGAUGGCGUAUCGCUGCAGAAUGCUGUGGUAGCCAUGCUGGUUAAGUGUGCCUUGAAUUUAAAAAAUAAAUCACAGACAGUGUCACCAGCAAAGCACCUCCUCCUCCAUGCUUCACGGUGGGAACCACACAUAUGGAGAUCAUCCUUUCACCUACUCUGCGUCUCACAAAGAUACGGCGGUUGGAACCAAAAAUCUCCAAUUUGGACUCCAGACCAAAGGACAAAUUUCCACCGGUCUAAUGUCCAUUGCUCGUGUUUCUUGGCCCAAGCAAGUCUCUUCUUAUUGGUGUCCUUUAGUAGUGGUUUCUUUGCAGCAAUUCGACCAUGAAGGCCUGAUUCACGCAGUCUCCUCUGAACAGUUGACGUUGAGAUGUGUCUGUUACUUGAACUCUGAAGCAUUUAUUUCGGUUGCAAUUUCUGAGGCUGGUAACUCUAAUGAACUUAUCCUCUGCAGCAGAGGCAACUCUGGGACUUCCAUUCCUGUGGCGGUCCUCAUGAGAGACAGUUUCAUCAUAGCGCUUGAUGGUUUUUGCGACUGCACUUGAAGAAACUUUCAAAGUUCUUGACAUUUUCUGUAUUGACUGACCUUCAUGUCUUAAAGUAAUAAUGAGCUGUCCUUGCAUACCUUAAUGGACUUGGUAGGGCUAUCUUCUGUAUACCCCCCUACCUUGUCACAACACAACUGAUUGGCUUAAACGCAUUAAGAAGGAAAGGAAUUCCACAAAUUAACUUUUAACAAGGCACACCUGUUAAUUGAAAUGCAUUCCAGGUGACUACCUCAUGAAGCUGGUUGAGAGAAUGCCAAGAGUGGAUAUUUGAAGAAUCUCAUAUAUAAAAUAGAUUUUGAUUUGUUUAACAAUGUUUUGGUUACUACAUGAUUCCAUAUGUGUUAUUUCAUAGUUUUGAUGUCUUCACUAUUAUUCUACAAUGUAGAAAAUAGUUAAAAUAAAGAAAAUCCCUUGAAUUAGUAGGUGUUCUAACUUUUGACCAGUAGUGUAUAUACACACCUCAGAACCAAAACCCUAGUGUGGCUUCUGCUCGACAAUACCCUUUAAAUGACUCAUAAACAACUGGAUUUUUUUCUUCCAUUAAAGACAAUAACUGCUCAGCUGCUUUUUCAUACAAAUAAUGACAUGAACUUAAAAAAGAGAGAAUAGAUUGCUUUUUAUUGAAGAGAAUACAAAACAUAACAAAAGAGAAGGGAUUGGAUGAGAAUGGAUUGCUGCUUAAGCUCAGACAUCCCUAUCACUGUAGUAGGAAACUUGAUGAGUGAGUGUGUUCUCCUUCUCCUUUACCACCUCCAUCUUGUGUCCUUAGAAAAAACAAACAUGUCAGUUUUCAUUGUUUCACCCGCAACCUGGACUCAGGGGUAGAUGUAGUAUAGUAAACAAAAAUCUGGGACACUCAAAUUUGUAUGAUAUGUACAGUCAACAUUCCUGCCAGUUCUUCUCUACGGUGACACCAUUUAUGGGAAUGCAGCAGCCACUACACUUAAACCUUUGGAUUCCCUGGUGCCACUAGGGCAGUUUAAAACCCUGAUGGUAAAUGAGUCCACCGAGGUGUGCAAUUGUUUUGAUUGAUUGACUUAAAAAAUGUGUUUAUGAUGCCUGUAAUGUACUUGUUAUUUUAUCUUGUAGUUUUUCCUUUUAUUUCAUGUCCUCGGGGCACCAUUGAAAAUGAGACCCUGUUCUCAAUUGGGCUCCCCUGAUCUUUUAGAGUCUAAGCCCUUACUGCUAUUAGCCCAUAAAAACACAUUAAAUAACAGAUUCAUACUGUACAUGGAAAAACAGUCAGAAAAUAAAUAAAAAUGACUUUUUUUAAAUUAAGUGUAUCAAGAUCCUCUUCCUGGAAAUGACUGGACCAAAGCGUAGCGUGGUACGUGUUCAUGAUAUUUUAUUAAAUUAGAACACUAGAACAAAAAUAACAAAGAGAAAAACGGACAGUUCUGUAAGGAUACUAAACUAUACAGAAAACAACUACCCACAAAACACAGGUGGGAAAAGGCUGCCUAAGUAUGUUUCCCAAUCAGAGACAACAAUAGACAGCUGCCUCUGAUUGAGAACCACACCUGGCCAAACACAAAGAAAUAGAAAACAUAGAAAUAAAGAAACUAGAAUGCCCACCCUAGUCACACCCUGGCCUGACCAAAAUAGAGAAUAAAAGCCUCUCUAUGGCCAGGGCGUGACAAAGUGUCUGACUUAUAAAUGUAUGAGUGAUAUAAGAAAGAUCAGGAAAUUAUUUUCAUUUUUUGGAACCAUAUUUAACAACAACCAAAAAAUCUCUUAACUACAAUGAACAAAAAAAAUGAAUAUUCCAUUCUCUGACAAGAGCUCUGGUGGACAUUCCUACAGUCAACAUGCUAAUUGCAUACUCUCUCUAAACUUGUGAAAUCUGUGGCAUUGCUUUGUGUGACUAAACUGCACAUUUUAGAGUGGCCUUUAUUUUCCCCCAGCACAAGGUGCACCUGUGCAAUGAUCAUGCUGUUUAAUCAGCUUCUUGAUAUGCCACACCUGUCAGGUGGAUAGAUUAUUUUGGCAAAGGAGAAAUGCUCACCAAAAGGAAUGUAAACAAAUCUGUUCACAAAAUCUGAGAGAAAUAAGCUUUUUGUGCUUAUGGAACAUUUCUGGGAUCUUUUAUUUCAGCUCAUGAAACUCAUAAAGUUUGUCACAUGUUUCAUGAGCUGAAAUAAAAGAUCCCAGAAAUGUGUGUGUAUAUGUGUGUAUAUAUAUAUAUAUAUAUAUAUAUAUAUAUAUAUAUAUAUAUAUAUAUAUAUAUAUAUACACAUUUCCCCAUGGGGACAAUAAAGUAAGUAAGUAAACACACAUACACUUAGUGUACAAAAAAUUAGGAACACCUGCUCCUUCCAUGACAUAGACUGACCAGGUGAAAUCUAUGAUCCCUUUUUGAUGUCCACUUCAAUCAGUGUAGAUGAAGGGAAUCGACAGGUUAAAGAAAACAUGUUAAGCCUUGAGACAAUUGAGAUAUGGAUUGUGUGCCAUUCAGAGGGUGAAUAGGCAAGAAAAAAAAAAUUAAGUUGCCUUUGAAUGGGUUAUGGUAGUAGGUGCCAGGCACAUUGGUUUGAGUGUGUCAAGAACUGCAACGCUGAGUGGUUUUUCACUCUCAAAAGUUUCACGUGUGUAUCAGGAAUGGUCCACCACCAUUAGGACAUCCAGCCAACUUGACACAACUGUGGGAAGCAUUGGAGUCGACAUGAGCCAGCUUCCCUGUGGAAUGCUUUCGACACUUUGUAGAGUCCGUGACCCGAAGAAUUGAGGCUGUUCUGAGGGCAAAAGGGGGUGCAACUCAAUAUUAAGAAGGUGUUCCUAAUGUUUUGUAUACUCAGUGUAUACUUCCAUUCAUUUAUAAAACUGGUACCGGGCUACUUUCAGACGAGUCAUGUGAGGCUUGUGGGCGUCCUAAUGCAAAACGAAAUGUACGUGUUUGUGAGAGCCACCAUUGUUGGAUGUGGUGGAUUGAGACGCAGCCCAUGUAAAAAAAACAGAUGUCUCUAGCUUAAACACACAGAUUUUGAUGGUGAUUUUUUUAUUAUGUUAAUUAGAUUUCCUCGGGGGUAGGGACCGCGACUCUAGGGGGUUGAAUUAAAGUUAAUAAAAAAAUGAAAUAUGUUUAGGGGAAGGGUUAGCUAACUUACUAAGUAGUUACAAUGUAGCUAAAAAGUAGUAAGUCGUUGCAAAGUAGCUAAAAUGCUAAAGUUGUCCAUGGUGAAAUUCGAACACACAACCUUUGUGUUACUAGACAUUUGUGUUAUAUGCCCGCCCAGACCAACUACCCUCCUUUCAAUUUUGCUUUAAGUAACCUGUUGUCUUAUGUAACCAUACCAAAUGUAACAUAUCAAACUAAUUAGUUUACUAUGUUACGUCUAGUCUAUGAGACCCGCCUGCACAAUGGGCUGCAUUCAGGCCAGUGCUGUUCCUCCUUUCCUCUCUUCUUCUCUGGUCUGUCUGCUCAAGUGUCCUGCUCCUAAUUAGCCUUCCAGACUUACUGUAGCACUCCACAACUCAGCCACCGAGCCACUGGGUGUGUCCCAAAUGGCACACUAUUCUAUAUAUAGUGCUUAGGGCUCUGGUCAAAACUAGUGCAUUACAUAAGGAAUAGGGUGUCAUUUGGGACGCACACACCGAGACUACUUACUCCUCCUGACUCCCAUAAAACAUCAAGGGACGCGAUUAAUAGUAUCAGCCUGGCUGAGCUAAUGUAGAAAAUUAGCAAAACAUCAAAAAUAUGUGGUUAAGAAAUCUUCACUCCUGUGAUGUAAGCAGUACCAGCUGUGACUGAGGGUUACUGUGGGAGCACAGACAGACAGAGAGAGAGAGAGACAGAGAGUGAACUUUGACUUGAUUACUCUGAGGGAACUCCUUCCAAAUAUUCCAACAACGAGGAGCUGGGCCAAGGCUGAGACAUAGUAUCAAAACGAUUCAAAACAAAUAAAUACCCGGUGAUUAAUGGCACUUUUAUUGCUCAUGCAGACACACUUUACGACCUUUCAAAAAACAUACCGUAUAUGACAACAGAUUUUUAGGAAACAUUUAAAUGAGAAGCAUUUGGUAAUCUAAACAAGCAGAUGCUCAGCUCAGGCCAUUUAUGUUUGGUAAUCUCUCUGUUUCGUUGUUUCUGUAACACACACACACACACACACACACACACACACUCUCUAUAUCUCGCAGUCUUUACUCUCUCUCUCUCUCUCUCUUUCUGUUAAAUGUUUUGAUUUGGAGGUCGCUGACUGAAAAGGAUAUGCAUAACUAACAUCAUUAAACAAAUGUUGCAUGUUCCGCUGAAGGAAAGGAAUUUAUGAGACACAACUCCCCUACAUGUUUUAGCCAUCGGUGGGUAGGGGCAGAGGCAGACCCACUGCUGCCUGGGAGUUCUUAAAAAUAAAAAGAUAUGUUCCUCUUG
This is an RNA transcript of Salvelinus fontinalis (brook trout), 10190 nucleotides long. It is a transcript of the gene named outer dynein arm-docking complex subunit 2-like, with no coding region annotated. The transcript has 21 exons. The record is from RefSeq and is a predicted model, not a curated record. Lineage: Eukaryota; Metazoa; Chordata; Actinopteri; Salmoniformes; Salmonidae.